UACGGAAGGCAGCAGUGGGGAAUAUUGCACAAUGGGCGCAAGCCUGAUGCAGCCAUGCCGCGUGUAUGAAGAAGGCCUUCGGGUUGUAAAGUACUUUCAGCGGGGAGGAAGGCGAUGCGGUUAAUAACCGCGUCGAUUGACGUUACCCGCAGAAGAAGCACCGGCUAACUCCGUGCCAGCAGCCGCGGUAAUACGGAGGGUGCAAGCGUUAAUCGGAAUUACUGGGCGUAAAGCGCACGCAGGCGGUCUGUUAAGUCAGAUGUGAAAUCCCCCGGGCUUAACCUGGGAACUGCAUUUUGAAACUGGCAGGCUUGAGUCUUGUAGAGGGGGUAGAAUUCCAGGUGUAGCGGUGAAAUGCGUAGAGAUCUGGAGGAAUACCGGUGGCGAAGGCGGCCCCUGGGACAAAGACUGACGCUCAGGUGCGAAAGCGUGGGGAGCAAACGAGGAUUAGGAUACCCGGU
Molecule: ribosomal RNA, 461 nt
Filed under: uncultured bacterium
Lineage: Bacteria
Description: bacterial SSU rRNA
Rfam family: Bacterial small subunit ribosomal RNA
Source: RNAcentral